This 468-nucleotide ribosomal RNA is filed under the name uncultured bacterium. RNAcentral describes it as "partial 16S ribosomal RNA". It matches the Rfam family "Bacterial small subunit ribosomal RNA", at positions 28 to 507 of the family's 1533-position model. The record is from RNAcentral.
GACGAACGCUGGCGGCGUGCCUAACACAUGCAAGUCGAACGGACAGGCCCUGCUUUUGUUGGUUGCUCGAGUGGCGCACGGGUGUGUAACACGUGAGUAACCUGCCCUUAUCUUUGUGAUAUCUUCACGAAACUGGGGCUCAUACCGCAUAUGAUCUCUUGCUGCAUGGUGGUGGUUGGAAAGUUUCGGCGGUUCGGGAUGGACUCGCGGCUUAUCAGCUUGUUUGUGGGGUAGUGGCUUACCAAGGCUUUGACGGGUAGCCUGCCUUGGAGGGGGACCGGCGACAUUGGGACUGAGAGAGGGCCCAGAAGCCUACGGGAGGCAGCAGGGGGGAGUAUUGCAGAAUGGGCGGAAGCCUGAUGCAGCAACGCCGCGUGCGGGAUGACGGCCUUCGGGUUGUAAACCGAUUUCGCCUGUGACGAAGAGUGAGUGACGGUAAUGGGUAAAGAAGCACCGGCUAACUACGUG